CUUCAAUGUUCUUAACUAUGUCAUCUUCUUGGACUGCUGUUACUGCGCAGCACCCAAGCCCCAGGGAGACAUGGAAGCAGGUGAUUCCUUCAACACCCAGAAUGAGCCAGAAGAGAUGAUGAAAAAAGAGAAAAAGUCUGAAGCUCUGAAUAUCAGAGGUGUACUUUUGCAUGUGAUGGGAGAUGCCCUGGGGUCUGUGGUUGUGGUAAUCACAGCCAUCAUAUUCUAUGUGCUUCCCCUGAAGAGUGAGGACCCGUGUAACUGGCAGUGUUACAUUGACCCCAGCCUGACUGUCCUUAUGGUCAUCAUCAUUUUGUCAUCUGCCUUCCCGCUCAUCAAGGAGACCGCUGCCAUUCUGCUACAGAUGGUCCCAAAAGGAGUCAACAUGGAAGAGCUGAUCUGGUAACAAAUAGUUAAUGGACUGACACUGGUAUGCAGAUCAAGGCUUUGAGUGGCACUAUGUGCAUGGAAAAGAGAAGAGAAUCAAGGACGGAGCCCUGGGGCACUCUGAUCUUUGGAGAUCUGGUAGUUGGGGGAGGAGCCAACAAAAAAGCUGGAGGAAGAGCAGCCAUGAGUCCAGCCUGAUGAAUGCCUGCUCAACCGGUUUGAUCAUUUUGACUGAAACAAGUGGUCAUUUUAUGUCCUAUGGGAUGCUUGCUGAGGACAUUAAACACAGAAACAAGUAGAACAUGAAUUCAGAGUGAAGGAGAUGUUAAGGGGAUGGAGAAAUGGAGAAAGAGAGUUGAAAUAACUCUCCUAUUACCAUCAAGCAAAUCAAACACAGAAUGGGACCAGCAUGCCACAUUCCCUCUGUGAAGCCUUGGAGUGCAACUGCAUUAGCUCAAUGGUGCAUUUCACAACGUCACAACUUCAUCUCAGAUCAUCACAAAUUGCCCAUAUUGAAACCUGGGUGCAAUGAGAAUAAUCAUUAAAAUUUUCUCUGGUCUCACUUUUCUGCUUUACAGUGGUAGUUGAGAAUGUCAUACCCCUAAGGACAUGGGAAAGAUGUGUCCUUGACUGACUGAUCCCUGUGACACAGUCUGACACUUUGCUUUUGUUCAGCAAUUCUCCAAGCACUGGAUUGCAAUGAUGCCCUGUUGACAGCACUGCUCAAAAGUCGACCUGUUGUUGCUGGAACCUCCAAGAAUACUGUGUUUGAUCUCAGCCGGGAUCCUGUCUUGGAAGAGAAGAGGGAAUCCCACAAACUACUUGUGAAGAAGAUCCCAUUGUUCAGUCAAAUCCUCUGUCACUGUAGCAAUCCGUGCAUGCCGUUGCAGUUGGCAUUCUGACAUGUGUACACAGUGUUUUCAUCUCUUCCCUGGAGUUGCGGCCAAAGCCUGAGAUUCCUUUCUACACGACCCUGAAAAAACUCUGGAUUUGUGCUCCCCUCUGCUCUGCAAUAACAUACCAGCUCUGUGAUGUGGCCAAUGUUUACCUAGUUGGUGGGAGGACUUUUUAAUAUCAAAAGGAAAACGUUUCUUCUGCAUUCCACAUAGAAUCUGCCAAGGACAUUCCCGAAGAUCUACUUACUUAUUAGAGAAACCAAGAGAGUCCCAGCAGCACAGAGGGAUCGAGAAGGCUGAGAACAGAACUGGAGAACAAAAGUGAAGUGGUGGCAAAGUGCUGGACCAGAUGUUAGAAGUCUCCAAUUUGCUCUCGACAACAACAAUCCACAAGUAACCCUGAGAAAAGUCAUCUCUGUUUCCCCACUGGUAAAUGAUUGUAAGAAAAAUAGUGCCUAGUGGGGCUUACGUAGAGGACUGGGAAGCUGAACUGUGAAAAAUGAUUCCAGGGUUUCAGGCCACCAUGGCUACUACUCUUUUGUACCCAGUUCUUUGCUCCUCAAGGAGCCUUGUUUUCUAUACUUGUGAAUAUUUCAACCAACUAAUAAAGGUUUAAUGGC
RNAcentral lists this small RNA (1903 nucleotides) under Pongo abelii (Sumatran orangutan). Its description in RNAcentral is "processed transcript". Lineage: Eukaryota; Metazoa; Chordata; Mammalia; Primates; Hominidae. The record is from RNAcentral.